GGAACCGCUGCGCCCCCGCCUCCCCAUUCUCACCGUCGGUCGCCCCACCCCGCCCGCACCGGUCGCCUCCCGCCGCUCAGCGCCGCCGGUCGACAGGCUCCGCACCCGCCGCUAGCCCCCGCCCCGCCCGCUCAGCGCCGCCCCCGCCCGCACUGGCCUCCUCCCGCUGCUCAGCGCCGCUACUUGAGGAUGCUUUGCCGGCUUCCCGCAGUUGCCAUCGGCAUCAAGCUUGGAGGGAACGAGCUCCUCUUGGCUCCCAUCUGCCUCGCCUUCGCGACCACGGUCCUCCGCUCCGCUCGCCCUCCGUCGUCGGCCGCCGAUCCUCUCCUCGGACGCCGCCCCGCCGUUCCUCUUCUGCUUCCCCGCGAGUGUGAGCAGCCCCCCCGCCGGUUCUCCUCUUCUGCCCCAAGAAGGCGGGAGAGCGUGAGCAUCCCGCCGCCGCUGCCCGCCGGCCUUCAUCUGCUGCCCCACAGAAGGACGUGAGCGCGGGGUGGCGGCGUCCUUUGAAAUCCUUUAAUUGGGUUACUGAGAUUUAGUAUUUCUAAUCUUCUUCAGCCUUUCGAAUAAUCGAUUGCUGAGAUCUUGAUCUUGAUGUUGCAUUUUUCUUGUUUUAUUUAAGAUUGGUUUUAGAUGUAGAGUUGGGUUCAUUUUGGAUGUGAAUGUUGGUUUUUAGAUUACUCAAUGGUUCAUUGCAGAAUGGUUUUGGUUGUUGGUGCAGGGAAGCUUUGCAUCAAUGUUAGACCCCCAUUCAAGGUCAUGUUCAUCCCGGAAGAGCGGAGGCAGAUUGUGUUAUUUGCACAAGGUUUCCCAAUCUCUCCUGAAGCUUAUCCUUUUUGAUAGAAUCAAUCAAUUAGCCCGUCUCAAGGUCUUCCCAGAUAUGCGGCCUUGUUGGAACAAAUGGAGUUGGAAAAUCCACAUCACUUAAAGUCUUAGCUGGCAAGCUGAAACCUCAUAAUCCGGCAAGAGAUCAUUACAUACUUCUAGGGUUCUGAGCUUCAGAAUUAUUUUACAUGUAUAUUGGAGGACCUGAAGAGCUGUUUAAUCCAGCAAUGAAACGCAGGUCAUCGCCCAUUCUACUCGCAGCAUCGGCACACACUGCCGCUGCUGACCAUCAUUAUUCGGUCGUAAUCCCGGCCUCCUCCUCCUGUUGUGCCCUUGGCUUAUUGCCUCGAGGUGCCACCCAAAUGCGCGUGGCUGCAAAAGUGUUUCAUCAUGGUCAGGCGCAGGUAGAUGACAACAAGCUGAAGAACAAUGAGCAGCUCGACAGAGGAGUACCGACGCAACGCUCGCCAUAGGGAAUUGGGAAGGUACAGAGUUGGGCUCCCCUGAUCACUAUAUUUAUUGGGAAGCUUGGUACAAGACAAUCUUAGUUUGGGCUAUGAUGCAACAAUAGGUUCAAGCUGAGUGAACAGUAUUUGUGAUCCAAGUGACUGGUUUUAGCUUGUCAACUUGACAUAUUACACAGCGUCGACGAUGCUCUAGGACUAGCAGAAAAACACUUUUGCGUUGCACAAGGUUUUGAUUGCCAAACUGGACUUGACUGAGCAGAUACAUUGACGAUGUUCAUCAAGGGGUUGUUGGAUAUCUUGACCGGUCUGCAGUACUUGGAAGAAAACUUCCUAGGUAACAUUCAGGAGAUAAAUGAUUUUAAUGUUACAUAGCACACUCCUCUCUGCAUGUUCCAUGCCAAGUGGAGCAAACCCUGUUUUACUGCUUUUGUGUGACUGUAGUUUGGAACAAGAUUCCUUCAGUGGGUUCUACAUUUUAAGUUUAAUAUGAGAAAUGCUGUCAAAUUAUCAAUAUGCACUCAUUAUUGUAACUCAAUGUGAAUCGAGUUCUUUGUAUUUCUUUGUGCUUGUUACUGGGUAUUAUUUGUUAAGACCACUCUAAGCAGAGAGAAUCAAAACAAAGGAUGGUAAGCUGAAACUUACUGUAUUUGUUUUUGAAAAACUACCAUUGUUUCCAGAACACACAUAAACUAUAGCUUUUUAGUAGCAGUACUUGGAAGAAAACUUCCUAGGUAACGUUCAGGAGAUAAAUGAUUUUAAUGUUACAUAGCACACUCCUCUCUGCAUGUUCCAUGCCAAGUGGAGCAAACCCUGGUUUACUGCUUUUGUGUGACUGUAGUUUGGAACAAGAUUCCUUCAGUGGGUUCUACAUUUUAAGUUUAAUAUGAGAAAUGCUGUCAAAUUAUCAAUAUGCACUUAUUAUUGUAACUCAAUGUGAAUCGAGUUCUUUGUAUUUCUUUGUGCUUGUUACUGGGUAUUAUUUGUUAAGACCACUCUAAGCAGAGAGAAUCAAAACAAAGGAUGGUAAGCUGAAACUUACUGCAUUUGUUUUUGAAAAACUACCAUUGUUUCCAGAACAGACAUAAACUAUAGCUUUUUAGUAGCAACAUCCAUUCUUAUUCUCAGAUUCUCAAAUGCAGUAGUGCAAGAAAAUAGAUUCCUAGCCAUAGGGAAAAACUAUGUUGUGAAGCCCAAUAAAACUUGAGAAAACGGGUUAAUGAUGUGGUCCAAGCAAGCUUAAAUAAGAGGUAAAGACGCCCAGAUCCUGGGAUUACCAAAGUUAACGUUUACGUGGCAUUCUCAUGUGCCAAUGCUCGUGCGACCAUGGAGUUAAUUGUAAGACGUACUAGAGGUGAGUUCAUUAUAGCAGCGUCUCAGAGGUAUGCAAAUAUUCCAAACUCUCUGGUUGCUGAAACACUUCUCUCCAGGAUGUGGUACGUACGACCUGUGAAGGAGGAAGAAUGGCCUGAUGUUACCUUUCAAUAUGAUUGUCAGGUACUGGUGGAGAUGUGGAACUAAUGAAAACAGAACAUAUCAGACAUUAUGGGCCUCCUGUGUGAAAUUGAGGAGCCGAGCCAAGCCUUUUGUUCCUUACGGUGUCUUCUAUUCUUAGAGGCUGAUUUCUGUGUGCAAAGCUGCCCCUGCAGGUUAGUGACCGGAGACUGUGGCAUAAUGCUGCUCCGGAUCAACUUGCUUUUUGAUGCAAACUGACAGUAAUCAUGAGGAAGAGAGCUGAGCUUCUUUGAUUGUGAAAAAAGUCCCUUUGAUCUUUUGGUGUUAAGAGGAUUGUACUUCACAAUAUUGGUUCAAUGCCGUUGAUAUUUUUAUGUGAGAUAUCUGCUUUCCAUUUUA
Aegilops tauschii subsp. strangulata is the source of this 3140-nucleotide non-coding RNA. Lineage: Eukaryota; Viridiplantae; Streptophyta; Magnoliopsida; Poales; Poaceae. The record is from RefSeq and is a predicted model, not a curated record.